UAUACGACCGUACCGCAAACCGACACUGGUGCGCGAGAUGAGUAUUCUAAGGCGCUUGAGAGAACUCAGGAGAAGGAACUCGGCAAAUUGACACCGUAACUUCGGAAGAAGGUGUGCCCUAUUAGUGUGUAGUGAACAACGAAGCAUGAAUGGGUUGCAAAAAAUCGGUGGCUGCGACUGUUUAUUAAAAACACAGCACUCUGCAAACACGAAAGUGGACGUAUAGGGUGUGACGCCUGCCCGGUGCUGGAAGAUUAAAUGAUGGGGUGCAAGCUCUUGAUUGAAGUCCCAGUAGACGGCGGCCGUAACGAUAACGGUCCUAAGGUAGCGAAAUUCCUUGUCGGGUAAGUUCCGACCUGCACGAAUGGCGUAACGAUGGCCACACUGUCUCCUCCUGAGACUCACCGAAGUUGAAAUGUUUGUGAUGAUGCAAUCUCCCCGCGGAAAGACGGAAAGACCCCAUGAACCUUUACUGUAGCUUUGUAUUGGACUUUGAACAGAUCUGUGUAGGAUAGGUGGGAGGCUUUGAAGCAGGGUCGCUAGAUCUUGUGGAGCCAACGUUGAAAUACCACCCUGGUGUGUUUGAGGUUCUAACCUAGGUCCAUUAUCUGGAUCGGGGACAGUGCAUGGUAGGCAGUUUGACUGGGGCGGUCUCCUCCCAAAGCGUAACGGAGGAGUUCGAAGGUACGCUAGUUACGGUCGGACAUCGUGACGAUAGUGCAAUGGCAUAAGCGUGCUUAACUGCGAGACUGACAAGUCGAGCAGAUGCGAAAGCAGGACAUAGUGAUCCGGUGGUUCUGUAUGGAAGGGCCAUCGCUCAACGGAUAAAAGGUACUCUGGGGAUAACAGGCUGAUACCGCCCAAGAGUUCAUAUCGACGGCGGUGUUUGGCACCUCGAUGUCGGCUCAUCUCAUCCUGGGGCUGUAGCCGGUCCCAAGGGUAUGGCUGUUCGCCAUUUAAAGAGGUACGUGAGCUGGGUUUAAAACGUCGUGAGACAGUUUGGUCCCUAUCUUCCGUGGGCGCUGCAGAUUUGAGGAAGCCUGCUCCUAGUACGAGAGGACCGGAGUGGACACACCUCUGGUGUAUCGGUUGUCACGCCAGUGGCAUUGCCGAGUAGCUAAGUGUGGAAGAGAUAACCGCUGAAAGCAUCUAAGCGGGAAACUCGUUUCAAGAUGAGAUCUGCCGGGGCCUUGAGCCCCCUAAAGAGUCGUUCAAGACCAGGACGUUGAUAGGUCAGGUGUGGAAGCAAA
RNAcentral lists this ribosomal RNA (1250 nucleotides) under metagenome. Its description in RNAcentral is "bacterial LSU rRNA". It matches the Rfam family "Bacterial large subunit ribosomal RNA", at positions 1635 to 2877 of the family's 2925-position model. The record is from RNAcentral.